RNAcentral lists this ribosomal RNA (250 nucleotides) under uncultured bacterium. Its description in RNAcentral is "partial 16S ribosomal RNA". It matches the Rfam family "Bacterial small subunit ribosomal RNA", at positions 524 to 773 of the family's 1533-position model. The record is from RNAcentral.
UACAGGGGUCUCAAGCGUUAAUCGGAAUUACUGGGCUUAAAGGGUGCGUAGGCGGGCCUGAAAGUGCCUUGUGAAAUCCCCCGGCUCAACCGGGGAACUGCGGGGCAUACUCCAGGUCUUGAAGAAGGUAGGCGCCGAGGGAACAGUAGGUGGAGCGGUGAAAUGCGUAGAUAUCUACUGGAACGCCGAUGGUGAAGACGCUCGGCUGGGCCUUUCUUGACGCUGAGGCACGAAAGCGUGGGGAGCAAAC